UACGAAGGGGGCUAGCGUUGCUCGGAAUUACUGGGCGUAAAGGGCGCGUAGGCGGUUCUGUUAGUCAGGCGUGAAAUUCCUGGGCUUAACCUGGGGGCUGCGCUUGAUACGGCGGGACUGGAGGAUGGAAGAGGCUCGUGGAAUUCCCAGUGUAGAGGUGAAAUUCGUAGAUAUUGGGAAGAACACCGGUGGCGAAGGCGGCGAGCUGGUCCAUUACUGACGCUGAGGCGCGACAGCGUGGGGAGCAAACAGG
This 253-nucleotide ribosomal RNA is filed under the name uncultured bacterium. Its description in RNAcentral is "partial 16S ribosomal RNA". It matches the Rfam family "Bacterial small subunit ribosomal RNA", at positions 524 to 776 of the family's 1533-position model. The record is from RNAcentral.